UACGUAGGGUGCGAGCGUUAAUCGGAAUUACUGGGCGUAAAGCGUGCGCAGGCGGUUUUGUAAGCCAGAUGUGAAAUCCCCGGGCUUAACCUGGAAAUGGCAUUUGGGACUGCAAGGCUUGAGUGCGGCAGAGGAGACUGGAAUUCCUGGUGUAGCAGUGAAAUGCGUAGAUAUCAGGGGGAUACCGAUGGCGAAGGCAGGUCUCUGGGCUGACACUGACGCUCAUGCACGAAAGCGUGGGGAGCAAACAGG
Molecule: ribosomal RNA, 252 nt
Filed under: uncultured bacterium
Lineage: Bacteria
Description: partial 16S ribosomal RNA
Rfam family: Bacterial small subunit ribosomal RNA
Source: RNAcentral